Nematostella vectensis (starlet sea anemone) is the source of this 45-nucleotide non-coding RNA. The record is from Rfam. Lineage: Eukaryota; Metazoa; Cnidaria; Anthozoa; Actiniaria; Edwardsiidae.
AAAACGGCUCUUUUAAGAGCCACCAAAUCUAACAAGUGAUGGUUU